CAAAUGACCGGCCGAAAGGCCACGCCGAAGCGCGGUAUCCCCCCGCCGCGCUCAACGGUUUACCCUUUGUGAAAACCCCUCGUUGCUUCGGCAGCACCUCCCGGCCAUCGGUCGGGAGGGUUAGCCUGCCGACGGCACUUUUCUAAACACAUGUUGUAGAACCAGUACCUUGUCUGACAAAUCAGUCGAAUUGACUUUA
RNAcentral lists this unclassified non-coding RNA (199 nucleotides) under uncultured fungus. RNAcentral's name for it is "sequence contains ITS1, 5.8S rRNA gene". Lineage: Eukaryota; Fungi. The record is from RNAcentral.